UACGUAGGUGGCAAGCGUUGUCCGGAUUCACUGGGUUUAAAGGGUGUGUAGGCGGGCUGUUAAGUCAGUGGUGAAAUCUCCGGGCUCAACCCGGAAACUGCCAUUGAUACUAUCAGUCUUGAAUCUUGUUGAGGUGGGCGGAAUAUAUCAUGUAGCGGUGAAAUGCUUAGAUAUGAUAUAGAACACCGAUUGCGAAGGCAGCUCACUAAGCAAGUAUUGACGCUGAGGCACGAAAGCGUGGGGAUCAAACAGG
RNAcentral lists this ribosomal RNA (253 nucleotides) under uncultured prokaryote. RNAcentral's name for it is "partial 16S ribosomal RNA". It matches the Rfam family "Bacterial small subunit ribosomal RNA", at positions 524 to 776 of the family's 1533-position model. The record is from RNAcentral.